UACGGGGGGGGCAAGCGUUGUUCGGAAUUACUGGGCGUAAAGCGCGUGUAGGCGGCCCUGCAAGUCGGAUGUGAAAUCCCACGGCUCAACCGUGGAAGUGCAUUCGAAACUGCGGGGCUGGAGUACUGGAGAGGAAGGUGGAAUGCUCGGUGUAGAGGUGAAAUUCGUAGAUAUCGAGCGGAACACCGGUGGCGAAGGCGGCCUUCUGGACAGUAACUGACGCUGAGACGCGAAAGCGUGGGGAGCAAACAGG
RNAcentral lists this ribosomal RNA (253 nucleotides) under uncultured bacterium. RNAcentral describes it as "partial 16S ribosomal RNA". It matches the Rfam family "Bacterial small subunit ribosomal RNA", at positions 524 to 776 of the family's 1533-position model. The record is from RNAcentral.